This 259-nucleotide ribosomal RNA is filed under the name uncultured bacterium. RNAcentral's name for it is "partial 16S ribosomal RNA". It matches the Rfam family "Bacterial small subunit ribosomal RNA", at positions 8 to 269 of the family's 1533-position model. The record is from RNAcentral.
AGAGUUUGAUCAUGGCUCAGAUUGAACGCUGGCGGCAGGCCUAACACAUGCAAGUCGAGCGGAUGAGAAGAGCUUGCUCUUCGAUUCAGCGGCGGACGGGUGAGUAAUGCCUAGGAAUCUGCCUGGUAGUGGGGGACAACGUUUCGAAAGGAACGCUAAUACCGCAUACGUCCUACGGGAGAAAGCAGGGGACCUUCGGGCCUUGCGCUAUCAGAUGAGCCUAGGUCGGAUUAGCUAGUUGGUGAGGUAAUGGCUCACC